Molecule: ribosomal RNA, 587 nt
Filed under: uncultured bacterium
Lineage: Bacteria
Description: bacterial SSU rRNA
Rfam family: Bacterial small subunit ribosomal RNA
Source: RNAcentral
CCUACGGGAGGCAGCAGUGGGGAAUUUUGCGCAAUGGGCUAACGCCUGACGCAGCAACGCCGCGUGGAGGAUGACGGUCUUUGGAUUGUAAACUCCUGUCAGCAGGGAAAAAGGGACUGGACCUAAUACGUCUGGGACUUGAUUGUACCUGCAGAGGAAGCCCCGGCUAACUCUGUGCCAGCAGCCGCGGUAAUACAGAGGGGGCAAGCGUUAUUCGGAAUUAUUGGGCGUAAAGGGCGCGUAGGCGGCUAUUCAAGUGGCGGGUGAAAUCCCUCGGCUUAACCGAGGAACUGCCUGCCAGACUGGAUGGCUUGAGACCGGGAGAGGCGAGUGGAAUUCCCAGUGUAGCGGUGAAAUGCGUAGAUAUUGGGAGGAACACCAGUGGCGAAGGCGGCUCACUGGACCGGUACUGACGCUGAGGCGCGAAAGCGUGGGGAGCAAACAGGAUUAGAUACCCUGGUAGUCCACGCCGUAAACGAUGAGUGCUUGGUGUAGCGGGUAUCGACCCCUGCUGUGCCGACGUCAACACAUUAAGCACUCCGCCUGGGGAGUACGGUCGCAAGACUGAAACUCAAAGGAAUUGACGG